Molecule: ribosomal RNA, 199 nt
Filed under: uncultured Pseudomonas sp.
Lineage: Bacteria; Pseudomonadati; Pseudomonadota; Gammaproteobacteria; Pseudomonadales; Pseudomonadaceae
Description: partial 16S ribosomal RNA
Rfam family: Bacterial small subunit ribosomal RNA
Source: RNAcentral
AUUGAACGCUGGCGGCAGGCCUAACACAUGCAAGUCGAGCGGUAGAGAGAAGCUUGCUUCUCUUGAGAGCGGCGGACGGGUGAGUAAUGCCUAGGAAUCUGCCUGGUAGUGGGGGAUAACGUUCGGAAACGGACGCUAAUACCGCAUACGUCCUACGGGAGAAAGCAGGGGACCUUCGGGCCUUGCGCUAUCAGAUGAG